AGCAGUCGCCACGGUAAUACGUAGGAGGCAAGCGUUAUCCGGAAUUAUUGGGCGUAAAGCGCGCGUAGGCGGUUUUUUAAGUCUGAUGUGAAAGCCCACGGCUCAACCGUGGAGGGUCAUUGGAAACUGGAAAACUUGAGUGCAGAAGAGGAAAGUGGAAUUCCAUGUGUAGCGGUGAAAUGCGCAGAGAUAUGGAGGAACACCAGUGGCGAAGGCGACUUUUUGGCCUGUAACUGACACUGAGGCGCGAAAGCGUGGGGAGCAAACAGGAUUAGAUACCCCCGUAGUCCCUGUCUCUUAUAC
This 303-nucleotide ribosomal RNA is filed under the name uncultured bacterium. RNAcentral describes it as "partial 16S ribosomal RNA". It matches the Rfam family "Bacterial small subunit ribosomal RNA", at positions 507 to 807 of the family's 1533-position model. The record is from RNAcentral.